GACAGCUGUUCAUUUUGGGUUUCAAAUAUUGGAAUUUUCCUCUAAUUUAAGGUUUAAAUGUUUUAAAGCCUAAAACAUGUUCACAAGCGGCAUAAAGACUCUGAAUGAUAUGGUACUUGGCUCUUGGGUGAGUUGAGCUCCUAUAACAAAGGUAUUAUUAGUAC
RNAcentral lists this long non-coding RNA (164 nucleotides) under Salmo trutta (river trout). RNAcentral's name for it is "lncRNA (ENSSTUG00000016980.1)". The record is from RNAcentral. Lineage: Eukaryota; Metazoa; Chordata; Actinopteri; Salmoniformes; Salmonidae.